UGGCUCAGAGUGAACGCUGGCGGUAGGCCUAACACAUGCAAGUCGAACGGCAGCACAGAGGAGCUUGCUCCUUGGGUGGCGAGUGGCGGACGGGUGAGGAAUACAUCGGAAUCUACUUUUUCGUGGGGGAUAACGUAGGGAAACUUACGCUAAUACCGCAUACGACCUACGGGUGAAAGCAGGGGAUCUUCGGACCUUGCGCGAUUGAAUGAGCCGAUGUCGGAUUAGCUAGUUGGCGGGGUAAAGGCCCACCAAGGCGACGAUCCGUAGCUGGUCUGAGAGGAUGAUCAGCCACACUGGAACUGAGACACGGUCCAGACUCCUACGGGAGGCAGCAGUGGGGAAUAUUGGACAAUGGGCGCAAGCCUGAUCCAGCCAUACCGCGUGGGUGAAGAAGGCCUUCGGGUUGUAAAGCCCUUUUGUUGGGAAAGAAAUCCAGCCGGCUAAUACCUGGUUGGGAUGACGGUACCCAAAGAAUAAGCACCGGCUAACUUCGUGCCAGCAGCCGCGGUAAUACGAAGGGUGCAAGCGUUACUCGGAAUUACUGGGCGUAAAGCGUGCGUAGGUGGUUGUUUAAGUCUGUUGUGAAAGCCCUGGGCUCAACCUGGGAACUGCAGUGGAAACUGGACAACUAGAGUGUGGUAGAGGGUAGCGGAAUUCCCGGUGUAGCAGUGAAAUGCGUAGAGAUCGGGAGGAACAUCCAUGGCGAAGGCAGCUACCUGGACCAACACUGACACUGAGGCACGAAAGCGUGGGGAGCAAACAGGAUUAGAUA
RNAcentral lists this ribosomal RNA (775 nucleotides) under Stenotrophomonas maltophilia. RNAcentral's name for it is "bacterial SSU rRNA". It matches the Rfam family "Bacterial small subunit ribosomal RNA", at positions 20 to 784 of the family's 1533-position model. The record is from RNAcentral. Lineage: Bacteria; Pseudomonadati; Pseudomonadota; Gammaproteobacteria; Lysobacterales; Lysobacteraceae.